CUUGGCUGCUUCCUCUUGCUUUUCUUUACUGGAAGAAAUUUUGUUACAGCUUUGAUCUCAUUACUUGUUAUAGAUCUGCUCAGGUUUUGGACUUUCUUCAUGGAUCAGUCUUGAGAAAACAGAAAGGAACCCUCAAAGUGUGACUGUAUAUGAUGCAGAAAAAUGGGGAAGUCUGGCUAAGGACUCUGUGAAUUGCAUGAAUAAGUCAUAAAUUGGAGAAGACAGAUUGAAAAAGAAGAACUUACUAAUUUAGAGGUGACUAAAUCCUGAAAGCCGAGUAAAAAUCCACAUGUAUCAAGUAUGCCAGGCUCAGGAAGCAGCAUGUAUAGGAAAGCAAGACAUA
Molecule: long non-coding RNA, 343 nt
Filed under: Homo sapiens (human)
Lineage: Eukaryota; Metazoa; Chordata; Mammalia; Primates; Hominidae
Description: HSALNT0186238
Source: RNAcentral